GGGAGAAAGGUUAAGAAAUGAGUGGGGUUUUUUCAGUGGGGUUUUUUCAGUGGGUUUUUUUUCAGGAGGGUUUUUUCAGAUCGGGUUUUUUGAAUCGAAGAGCUAGCUUCAAGCUCUUUUCAAGGUCACUAGUUUGGUUUCAUUAGGGUUUGUGAGGGAAGAGCAAUCGCUGCUCAAAGUCAGUGUUUAUUUUGGUGUUUCGGAUUUUAUAUAAAACAUUGAUGGUUUGCAUUCUCAAUCGGUUUGUGCAAGUCGUGUAGCAUCUAUGGAUCAAAAUUUGGUAUUAUCUGGAUAGUUG
This 298-nucleotide long non-coding RNA is filed under the name Physcomitrium patens. RNAcentral describes it as "long non-coding RNA (PPAT_LNC005925)". Lineage: Eukaryota; Viridiplantae; Streptophyta; Bryopsida; Funariales; Funariaceae. The record is from RNAcentral.